Molecule: ribosomal RNA, 273 nt
Filed under: uncultured bacterium
Lineage: Bacteria
Description: partial 16S ribosomal RNA
Rfam family: Bacterial small subunit ribosomal RNA
Source: RNAcentral
UACGGAGGGGGCUAGCGUUGUUCGGAAUGACUGGGCGUAAAGCGCGCGUAGGCGGAUUGGCAAGUUGGGGGUGAAAUCCCGGGGCUCAACCUCGGAAUGGCCUUCAAGACUGCCGGUCUUGAGUUCGAGAGAGGUGAGUGGAAUUCCGAGUGUAGAGGUGAAAUUCGUAGAUAUUCGGAGGAACACCAGUGGCGAAGGCGGCUCACUGGCUCGACACUGACGCUGAGGUGCGAAAGCGUGGGGAGCAAACAGGAUUAGAAACCCCCGUAGUCC